Molecule: transfer RNA, 87 nt
Filed under: Atopobium minutum 10063974
Lineage: Bacteria; Bacillati; Actinomycetota; Coriobacteriia; Coriobacteriales; Atopobiaceae
Rfam family: tRNA
About the family: Transfer RNA (tRNA) molecules are approximately 80 nucleotides in length.
Source: Rfam by way of RNAcentral
GGAGGGAUGGCAGAGUGGUUGAAUGCGGCGGUCUUGAAAACCGUUGAGCGUUUGUGCGUUCCGAGAGUUCGAAUCUCUCUCCCUCCG